UACGUAGGGUGCAAGCGUUGUCCGGAAUUAUUGGGCGUAAAGAGCUCGUAGGCGGUUUGUCGCGUCUGCCGUGAAAGUCCGGGGCUCAACUCCGGAUCUGCGGUGGGUACGGGCAGACUAGAGUGAUGUAGGGGAGACUGGAAUUCCUGGUGUAGCGGUGGAAUGCGCAGAUAUCAGGAGGAACACCGAUGGCGAAGGCAGGUCUCUGGGCAUUAACUGACGCUGAGGAGCGAAAGCAUGGGGAGCGAACAGG
RNAcentral lists this ribosomal RNA (253 nucleotides) under uncultured bacterium. RNAcentral's name for it is "partial 16S ribosomal RNA". It matches the Rfam family "Bacterial small subunit ribosomal RNA", at positions 524 to 776 of the family's 1533-position model. The record is from RNAcentral.